This 254-nucleotide ribosomal RNA is filed under the name uncultured bacterium. Its description in RNAcentral is "partial 16S ribosomal RNA". It matches the Rfam family "Bacterial small subunit ribosomal RNA", at positions 524 to 776 of the family's 1533-position model. The record is from RNAcentral.
UACGUAGGGGGCUAGCGUUGUCCGGAUUUAUUGGGCGUAAAGAGCGUGUAGGCGGCCAUGUAGGUCCGGUGUGAAAUCUCCAGGCUCAACCUGGAGGGGUCAUUCGAUACUGCCGUGACUAGAGUUCGGUAGAGGAGUGUGGAAUUCCUGGUGGAGCGGUGAAAUGCGCAGAGAUCAGGAGGAACACCCGUAGCGAAGGCGGCACUCUGGGCCGAUACUGACACUGAGGAGCGGAAGCGUGGGGAGCGAACAGG